This 253-nucleotide ribosomal RNA is filed under the name uncultured bacterium. Its description in RNAcentral is "partial 16S ribosomal RNA". It matches the Rfam family "Bacterial small subunit ribosomal RNA", at positions 524 to 776 of the family's 1533-position model. The record is from RNAcentral.
UACAGGGGGGGCAAGCGUUGUUCGGAAUUACUGGGCGUAAAGGGCUCGUAGGCGGCCAACUAAGUCACACGUGAAAUCCCCAGGCUUAACCUGGGAACUGCGUGUGAUACUGGAUGGCUUGAAUCCGGGAGAGGGAUGCGGAAUUCCAGGUGUAGCGGUGAGAUGCGUAGAUAUCUGGAGGAACACCGGUGGCGAAGGCGGCAUCCUGGACCGGUAUUGACGCUGAUGAGCGAAAGCCAGGGGAGCAAACGGG